Molecule: ribosomal RNA, 252 nt
Filed under: uncultured bacterium
Lineage: Bacteria
Description: partial 16S ribosomal RNA
Rfam family: Bacterial small subunit ribosomal RNA
Source: RNAcentral
UACGUAGGUGGCAAGCGUUGUCCGGAUUUAUUGGGUUUAAAGGGUGCGUAGGUGGCGGGGUAAGUCUGGUGUGAAAGCUCCGAGCUCAACUCGGAAAAGCAUUGGAAACUAUCCCGCUUGAGGGUCGGAGGGGAGACUGGAAUUCUCGGUGUAGCAGUGAAAUGCGUAGAUAUCGAGAGGAACACCAGUGGCGAAGGCGAGUCUCUGGACGACUCCUGACACUGAGGCACGAAAGCUAGGGGAGCAAACAGG